RNAcentral lists this ribosomal RNA (646 nucleotides) under uncultured archaeon. RNAcentral's name for it is "bacterial SSU rRNA". It matches the Rfam family "Archaeal small subunit ribosomal RNA", at positions 703 to 1348 of the family's 1478-position model. The record is from RNAcentral.
GACGAAAGCUAGGGGCACGAACCGGAUUAGAUACCCGGGUAGUCCUAGCCGUAAACGAUACUCGCUAGGUGUCGGCCACGGUGCGACCGUUGUCGGUGCCGUAGGGAAGCCGUGAAGCGAGCCACCUGGGAAGUACGGCCGCAAGGCUGAAACUUAAAGGAAUUGGCGGGGGAGCACCACAACGGGUGGAGCUUGCGGUUUAAUUGGAUUCAACGCCGGAAAUCUUACCGGGACCGACAGCAAUAUGAAGGCCAGGCUGAAGACUUUGCCGGAUUAGCUGAGAGGUGGUGCAUGGCCGUCGUCAGUUCGUACUGUGAAGCAUCCUGUUAAGUCAGGCAACGAGCGAGACCCACGCCCACAGUUGCCAGCGUACUCUCUGGAGUGACGGGUACACUGUGGGGACCGCCGCUGCUAAAGCGGAGGAAGGAAUGGGCAACGGUAGGUCAGUAUGCCCCGAAUAUCCCGGGCUACACGCGAGCUACAAUGGUUGGUACAAUGGGUAUCUACCCCGAAAGGGGACGGGAAUCUCCUAAAACCAAUCUUAGUUCGGAUUGAGGGCUGCAACUCGCCCUCAUGAAGCUGGAAUCCGUAGUAAUCGCGUUUCAACAGAACGCGGUGAAUACGUCCCUGCGCCUUGCACACACCG